Molecule: ribosomal RNA, 1634 nt
Filed under: uncultured eukaryote
Lineage: Eukaryota
Description: SSU rRNA
Rfam family: Eukaryotic small subunit ribosomal RNA
Source: RNAcentral
AUUAAAACAGUAAUUGUUUGCUUGGAAACAAUCCGACUUUCGGAUACCUGCGGCAAUUCUACAGCUAAUACGUGACGGCUUUUUCGGAAGCGGUGCAUGUUAAUUAGGACAAUCGGUAGAGGUUACUUUACCUUGAAAGAACACCUUCAUGCGUGAAUCGUGUUACGAUACGAAUGUCCAUCGAAGUUUCUGACCUAUCAGGCUCCGACGGUUGGGUAUUGGCCAACUGUGCCUAUAACGGGUGACGGGGGAUUAGGGUUUGAUUCCGGAGAGGGAGCAUGAGAGAUGGCUACCACAUCUAAGGAAGGCAGCAGGCGCGCAAAUUACCUAUCUUUAACACGGAGAGGUAGUAAACAGAAAUAAUGACGCGCGAUUUUUAUUGUGCGAUCGGAAUGGAUAGCUUGUAAACAAGGCUAUGAAAUCAACUAGAGGGCAAGUCUGGUGCCAGCAGCCGCGGUAAUUCCAGCUCUAAUAGCGUAUAUUAAAGUUGUUGCAGUUAAAACGUUCGUAGUCUACCUCUGUCUGCGCGGUUGAUUGGGGGCCUAUGGCGUUCCAAGCAGUUCCGACAGAGAGUAUGCAGCUUCCGCCGGGCAUGCUUCAUGCACGGACGCAGGUUGCAUUGUACUUUGAGUGAAUCGACGUGUUUCACGCAGAUUAAUGUCUUGGACGAUCUACCAUGGUAUAAAAAUAGUUUGAAUAUGCCACAUUGGUUGUUUCGAGGUGCAUUCUACUGCCAAAAGAACGGUUGAGGGCAUUCGUAUUCAACUGCCAGAGGUGAAAUUCUUUGAUUAGUUGAGGACGACCUACUGCGAAAGCAUUUGCCAAAGACCUGUCUUCUGAUCAAGAACGAAAGUUAGGUGACCGAAGAUGAUUAGAUACCGUCGUGGUCGUAACUAUAAACGUUGCUAACCGAGCGCCGGUGUGGUUUUACUAUGCUAUUUCGGAACUUUUUGAGAAAUCAUGAGUCUCUAAGUUCUGGGGGGAGUAUAGUUGCAAGGCCGAAACUUAAAGGAAUUGACGGAAGGGCACCACCAGGAGUGGAGCUUGCGGCUUAAUUUGACUCAACACUGAAAAGCUUACUAGAACAAGACAUGGGAAUGAUUGACAGACUAAUCGCUCUUUCUUGAUUUCAUGGGUGGUGGUGCAUGGCCGUUCUUAGUUCGUGGAGUAAUUUGUCAGGUUAAUUCCGUUAACGAACGAGAUUUUGCCUUACUUAUUCGGGACGGACGACCCGUAAUGUCCAUCGUUAGCAGGAUUGUGUGUGUUUAACACAAGGAAGCGCGAAGCAGUAACAGGUCUGUGAUGCCCUUAGAUGCUCUAGGCAGCAUGCGUGCUACAUUGGUGUAUUCAGUAUGUGCUGUUUCCCGAAAGUGUGGUGCAAUCAUUAAUGUACAGCAAUCCAGGGAUUAUUUGGUGAUAUAUUGAAUAUCAAUGAGGAAUUCCUAGUAAGCAUGUGUCAUCAGCUUGUGCUGAUUAUGUCCCUGCCCUUUGUACACACCGUCUGUCGCAUCUAUCAAUUAGGUUAUAUUAUGAAUUGGGUCAAGAUUGUAUAAGACAAUGAACAUUGUUCUUAUUUUGUCGACUUUCUAUAAAUGUUAUGUCCCAGAGACAGAUAAAGUCAUAGCACGGUUGUU